RNAcentral lists this long non-coding RNA (2206 nucleotides) under Nicotiana benthamiana. Its description in RNAcentral is "long non-coding RNA (NBEN_LNC002953)". The record is from RNAcentral. Lineage: Eukaryota; Viridiplantae; Streptophyta; Magnoliopsida; Solanales; Solanaceae.
AAAGAUAGGACGCUUUUAUUUGUUGUCUAAUAAUAACUAAUCAUUAUGGUGGUCUUGCUCAAUCAAUUUUCUUAGUUCUCUUGUUUGCUAAGUUGGGAGCUUUUCUCAAAAUUUUCCCAGGAUAAAAAAGAUUUCAUCAUUGUUUCAGGUAGGUGAAGAUCAGUUUGGUCAUAACUCAUAUACUAGCUGAUGAGUUAAAAAAGAAGCGUGUUAAUAAUUCAGGUAUCUGUUUUGAUCCCAAAGGCAAGGACAGCCUUGGCCUCCUGUCAACUUAAGAUCAGAUGGUGAGGGUGAGCUCAUGUUUCCAAGUGCUGAAAAUGCUCCUUACUGAAGAAGAGCUAGCCAAAUAUCUCAUACAGAAGGUAAAUAAUUUCUUUUAUGCAAAAUCGAUUUGAUCUUCAAGAACACACAAACUAACGAUGCAACUGUACUAUUAAAAUUAAGGAUCUACAACUUAGAGAUAAGCCUAACCUCCCCGUUGUCAGAAAUUUUUCUUGUUUUUACAGUUUUGAGGUCGGAGAUACUCUAGCAAUUGAACAAGAGCCAAGCAAGAAAGUCAAUAUCCAUGAUGCUUAAGAUUUUCUUUCGUUAUACAGUUGUUCCAUAAAUAUGAAAGCAGCUAAACUUGUGCUUAACUUCAUAAAGAAAGGAACUUAUUAAUUAAGAGUGUCAAUCAAAGGAAAAUAUAAUACACAUCCCAGUACAAAUCAUCUCAGAAGUGAUCAAAAGUUCCAUCAGCUGUGCCCAAGAGACAUAUGUCUUAUUAGUUGCUUGAUAAAAAAUUCACAAUUAUUUAGCAGGAAGACCAUUUUCACAAUUGGUUAUAUACCCUUAACAGCAGAAAGACCAAAAGAUUGUUCACCUAUUAAUUCUGUAAGGGACGCCUUAUUCUGCACUCGGGUGGUCCGAUGAAUAAUUCAGUCUCCACAUCUGAUUUUUCACUACUCUCUGUACAAAGAGCUUCACCUUCCUUUUCUCCACUUGAGCCUUCUCUCUGUGGAAGGCCACCAAACUAAAACAAGGCACGAGAGAAUUACUACUUGCCUUUAUUAUGAUUUUAUACUCGACUAUGAGCUAUUGAGUCGAAAGAGGACUUAAACUAAGGAAAAGAAAAAUAUACCUUCUCCCUCAGUAUUGCAUUUUCAGAAGCAAGGAUUUUCUCCUGGAUUUGUUAGACAGGAAAGCAGUACAUUAACUAGUAAAGCAGCUAUUGACGGACAGAGACAAUGACAUGCAACAAUAAAGUCAUGCCAUACAUAAGUAGUUUCGGCUUUGCAAUUUGAGUUAUCUUGAAUUGACUAUGUAAAUGAUUGCAUUAUGCAUAAAUUGUAACUCAAAUAAUUGUAUACCUUCAUGGGAAUUGCAGCUCAAAAUAAAUUAAUAACUGUGGGGUUACCUUUUCUUUUAGUUGUUCAAUUUGUUCCUUAAAAACUUGAAUCUGAAAAGAACAAGCAAAGUAAAUUAUAUGAUAAGUUUGCAAGACUUCAUAAGAACAGAUCAUUUCUUGGACUUAUAUGAAGAAACCUUUCGUGCUCGGAUGGUACUGACACUCCGCUCCAACUGUUUUUCUAUCUGUUGUAGUUCUCCAAGGGUACAGGACUGCAGACCUUCUCCUAAGAGUUUCCUGAUACAAACUCCACUUGUUUUAGAAGACUUUCAAACUUACAGGAAAGGGAGAGAAAUGACAAUGAAACAACAAUGCAACAACUUUUGGAUUGGGGUUUGUUGAACCUUUUAGAUUCUUCAAGGAGCUCUAUCUUCUUCAUCAAACUUGCUGCCUCAUGCUGCAUUAUUGUGUAAGCUACAUUAAGCCAUUAUUACAUUUUAUGAAAGAAACUAAUUGCUUGUCGAUUCACCCUAAGGAGAAGGCAUUACCUGCAGAUUCUGCUCCCCAACUUGGUUUUCAGGUUGAACUUUGUCUUCAGUGUGCCUCUUAUAUCGCUCUAUUAUCUCCUGCAUGCUGCCAAUUUCUCCCUAUUAGUCUUUUUUUUUUCUUUGAAUAAUAAACCCGCGGGCAAAUAGCAUAAAGAAUUUUGAAUGACAAGUAUUCUAUUAAGAACAUAAGCAAUUCUUGGGCUCCUCAUGCAGUUGAUGAACCCACAGGCAAAUAGCAUUAGAAUAGACCUCCGUGUGAUCAUUCAGCUUUGGCAAUUAAUCUAGUACAGAAGACUUUGGAGUGUGGGAAAACAAGUAUGUAUCAAAUUAC